GGUUGUAAUACUGAUGAUUGGCUGACCAGAUCUAGUCCAAGGAAUUAAAUCAGUAAAAUAUCAUGAGAAUCAAAUCAGUCAA
Molecule: long non-coding RNA, 82 nt
Organism: Trachymyrmex septentrionalis
Lineage: Eukaryota; Metazoa; Arthropoda; Insecta; Hymenoptera; Formicidae
Exons: 3
Source: RefSeq, a predicted model, not a curated record